GGAAGACAGUAGGAGCAGAGGGUGGAUGCCUCGGCGCUGCGUGCCGAUGAAGGACGUGGCAUUGCUGCGAUAAGCGGGGGGGAGCCGCGAGCGGGCGUUGAUCCUCCGAUUUCCGAAUGGGGCAACCCCACGACGUAUAGUCGUGACCGCCACUGGCGGAGGGCACCGGGGGAACUGAAACAUCUCAUGUACCCCGAGGAACAGAAAGUAUCCCCGUAGUAGCGGCGAGCGAACCGGGGGAGGCCUAAACGGGCUGCGUGCCAAGCCGGCAGGCGUUGCGCAGCGCGGGUUGGAAGACCAAGCAGGGUGUGCUGCCGUGCACCACUGGGAAGGAAGCUGGUAUGCGAAGACGUCUGGAAAGCGUCGCCAGAGACCGUGACAGCCGGGUAGCAGACACGAGCGUUCGCCUGGGUUUGGUUCUUGAGUAGCGCCGGACACGAGAAAUCCGGCGUGAAGCUGGGGGGCCCACCUCCCAAGGCUACAUACACGCAGUGACCGAUAGCGCACAGUACCGUGAGGGAACGGUGAAAAGUACCCCGGCGAGGGGAGUGAAAGAGAUCCUGAAACCGUCUGCUUACGUGCAGUCGAAGGGGAUGAGCGCAAGCUUCCCUGACGGCGUGCCUUUUGGAGUAUGAUCCGGCGAGUUACCCUCCGUGGCCGGUUAAGCCAGUCAUAGGCGGAGCCACAGCGAAAGCGAGUCUGAAGAGGGCGCGCGUCGCGGGGGGUAGACCCGAAACCGCUUGAGCUAUCCAUGGUCAGGCUGAAGCGUCCGUAACAGGACGUGGAGGGCCGCACCGGUGUAGGUUACAAACUGCUCGGAUGAACUGUGGAUAGGGGUGAAAUGCCAAUCGAAAGCGGAGAUAGCUGGUUCUCCCCGAAAUGCAUUGAGGUGCAGCCCGGGUUUUGGCGCUGAAUGAGGUAGAGCACUGUUGUUGUGCGGGGGCUUCACCGCCUACCAAGCGACGGCAAACUCCGAAUGCGUUCAGCGUACCUCCGGAGUGAGACAGUGGGCGCAAACGUUCAUUGUCAAAAGGGAAACAACCCAGACCUGCAGCUAAGGUCCCGAAAUCUCUGCUGAGUGGUAAAGGAUGUGUCGUUGCACAAACAACCAGGAGGUUGGCUUAGAAGCAGCCACCCUUCAAAGAGUGCGUAACAGCUCACUGGUCGAGUGACGGCGCGCCGAUAAUCUAGCGGGGCAAAGCAGAGUACCGAAGCUCAGGAUGCAGGCAACUGCCUGCGUGGUAGGGGAGCGUCGACAGUGCGGAGAAGCAUGAGCGCAAGUCCGUGUGGAGCGCUGUCGAGUGCGAAUGCCGGAACGAGUAACAGAGAAGGGGCGUGCGAACCGCCCCCACCGAAAGCCUGAGGGUUCCGCCGCAAGGGUGAUCCGCGGCGGGUUAGUCGGGCCUAAGGGGCGCCUCCGCAGGCGACCACCGAUGGACAACGGGUAGAUAUUCCCGUACUAUGGUUCGUUCGUUUGACCAAUGCCGGAUGCUGAUGGGGAGCUGCCGCGGCGAGACGUGCGCCGUCCAAGCUGGUAGGGAGGCGCGGGUUAGUCCCCGCGUCGAUGACCGAGAGGUGAGUGCGAGUGGGGGUAGCAAUACCCACCGCAAGGGCAGGGCACCUAGGCAGUCAAGAAAGGCCGGCUCGGGAGAACGACCAUACCCGUACCGCAAACCGACACAGGUAGGCUGGCUGAGCAAGCUAAGGUGGACGAGUGAUCCCGGGUUAAGGAACUCGGCAAAUUACCCCCGUACCUUCGGUAGAAGGGGGGCUCCUGGCGGUGACCCGCCUUGCGCGGUGAGCGGCUGGGAGCGACACAAACCAGGCCCAGGCGACUGGAUAACAGAACCACAGGUCCCUGCUGAAGUCGUAAGACGACGUAUAGGGGCUGACGCCUGCCCAGUGCUGGAAGGUUAAGGGGAGGCGUGCAAGCGCCGAACCGAAGCCCCAGUGAACGGCGGCUGUAACUAUAACAGUCCUAAGGUAGCGAAAUUCCUUGUCGGGUAAG
Molecule: ribosomal RNA, 2008 nt
Filed under: activated sludge metagenome
Description: bacterial LSU rRNA
Rfam family: Bacterial large subunit ribosomal RNA
Source: RNAcentral